This 461-nucleotide ribosomal RNA is filed under the name uncultured bacterium. RNAcentral's name for it is "partial 16S ribosomal RNA". It matches the Rfam family "Bacterial small subunit ribosomal RNA", at positions 338 to 795 of the family's 1533-position model. The record is from RNAcentral.
CCUACGGGUGGCAGCAGUGAGGAAUAUUGGUCAAUGGGCGGAAGCCUGAACCAGCCAAGUCGCGUGAGGGAAGACUGCCCUAUGGGUUGUAAACCUCUUUUGUCGGGGAGCAACGCCGGCUACGUGUCGCCGGCCUGAGAGUACCUGAAGAAAAAGCAUCGGCUAACUCCGUGCCAGCAGCCGCGGUAAUACGGAGGAUGCGAGCGUUAUCCGGAUUUACUGGGCUUAAAGCGCUCGUAGGCGGGAUGUCAAGUCAAGGGUGAAAUCCCCGGGCUCAACGCGGGUACGGCCGUUGAAACUGGCAGACUUGAGUGGGCGAGAGGAGAGCGGAAUGCGAGGUGUAGGAGUGAAAUCCGUAGAUAUCUGGCGGAACAGCAGUGGCGAAGGCGACCAUCUGGCACACUACUGACGCUGAGGAGCGAAAGUGCGGGUAGCAAACAGGAUUAGAUACCCUAGUAGUC